Colossoma macropomum (tambaqui) is the source of this 497-nucleotide long non-coding RNA. RefSeq lists it as uncharacterized. Lineage: Eukaryota; Metazoa; Chordata; Actinopteri; Characiformes; Serrasalmidae. The record is from RefSeq and is a predicted model, not a curated record. The transcript has 4 exons.
UCUCCGAGUCUGUUUCUCACUGAAGACACAGAUAAUGGAGAAGUCCAGUAACUCCUCCGCGUAUGAACUGACGUAUGAGUAUUAUUAUGAUUACAUGGAUCCGGUGAUCGUGGAUUCGAGAACACUCAGAUACAACAGAUAUUCAAUCGUUAUCAUAUUCUGGAUCAUUAUGGCUGCAUUUAUUGGACUUUUCUUCUUGAUUCUGAUAAAUAUUUCACGGACCGGGUUUCAUCUGAGGCAUCCUAGUAUCAGGAGAACAGGAAGCUUGUUAUUGAGAAGGAAAGAAAAAUGUCCUUCAUCUAAACCACUGGUGUGAUGAAUGGCACAGAAUCAGCAGUGACUCUGAGCACUGACACUGGACCGCAGUAGCUAUUGACCCUCUGACUCUGGAAGCUUCCUGGGAUCAAACAUCCACAGCUACCAUCGUUAUCUGCUCAUCAAACGCCUUUUCAGUAAAACAUAGAUUCAUACAAAUACCUGUUUUCUGAUACCCCAUU